Molecule: ribosomal RNA, 899 nt
Filed under: Cantharellus subvaginatus
Lineage: Eukaryota; Fungi; Basidiomycota; Agaricomycetes; Cantharellales; Hydnaceae
Description: partial large subunit ribosomal RNA
Rfam family: Eukaryotic large subunit ribosomal RNA
Source: RNAcentral
GACUUAAGCAUAUCACUAAGCGGAGGAAAAGAAACUAACUAGGAUUCCCCCAGUAACUGCGAGUGAAGAGGGAAGAGCUCAUCAUGGGAAUCUGGCAGUGUUGCACUGUCCGAGUUGUAGAUGAGGAGUAGUCCGUCUGGACUGCAUGGCGUCCAAGUACAAUAGGCCGUCAGUGGGACAUCAUAGAGGGUGACAAUCCCGUCCUUGAUGCCAAUGUGCAAGUCCGUUACGAUGGCUAUCUCAGAGAGUCGAGCAGUUUGGGAUUUGCUGCUUAAACAUGGGAGGUAGAUUCCUUCUAAAGCUAAAUACAGGCGAGAGACCGAUAGAGAACAAGUACCGCAAGGGAAAGAUGAAAUAGAACUCUGUGAAGGGAGUCAAAAGGCGUGAAAUUGUUGCGAGAGAAGCGAUUCAAGUCAGCGUAGCUAGGCCCAUCAAGCGUCUUCGCUUUGGACUAGCUUUGCCAGCGGUCUUGUCCUUAGAGACUUGACUUUGUAUAUAUAUGUGUCCAGCCUGGUAUGCACAGGUAGCCCCUCUGGGGGCCAGUGGCACAGCUGGUGGAAUGGCUUGCAAUCGACCCGUCUUGAAACACGGACCAAGGAGUCUAACAUGUAUGCGAGUAUAAGGGUGGCAAACCCGUAUGCGCAAUGAAAGUGAUUUUCGGUGAUUGAGAAUGGCCUGAUGACCAGACAAGCAAUACAUGUCCCUCGGACGGCCAUUGCCCAAGUUCCGUGGUAGAUCCCAUGAACAUGGAGUUGGAGCAUACAUGCUAGGACCCGAAAGAUGGUGAACUAUGCCUGGACAAAGCGAAGCCAAAGGAAACUCUGGUGGAGGCUUGUAGCGAUUCUGACGUGCAAAUCGAUCGUCUGAUCUGGGUAUAGGGGCGAAAGACUAAUCGAACC